Molecule: ribosomal RNA, 321 nt
Filed under: uncultured eukaryote
Lineage: Eukaryota
Description: partial 18S ribosomal RNA
Rfam family: Eukaryotic small subunit ribosomal RNA
Source: RNAcentral
CCCCUAGAUGUCCUGGGCCGCACGCGCGCUACACUGACAUGUUCAACAAGCCUCCUAGUUCGACAGGAUUUGGGAAAUCUUUGAACGCAUGUCGUGAUAGGGAUAGAUCAUUGCAAUUAUUGAUCUUGAACGAGGAAUUCCUAGUAAACGCGAGUCAUCAGCUCGCAUUGAUUACGUCCCUGCCCUUUGUACACACCGCCCGUCGCACCUACCGAUUGAAUGUUUCGGUGAAGAUUCCGGAUAGGACUUUUUUGAUUUAUUUCAAUUUUGUCUUAAAAGCUAUCUAAACCUCAACAUUUAGAGGAAGGUGAAGUCGUAACA